GACGAACGCUGGCGGCGUGCUUAACACAUGCAAGUCGAACGGAAAGGCCCUGCUUGCAGGGUACUCGAGUGGCGAACGGGUGAGUAACACGUGGGUGAUCUGCCCUGCACUUCGGGAUAAGCCUGGGAAACUGGGUCUAAUACCGGAUAGGAGCCAUUUUUAGUGUGAUGGUUGGAAAGUUUUUUCGGGGUGGGAUGGGCUCGCGGCCUAUCAGCUUGUUGGUGGGGUAAUGGCCUACCAAGGCGGCGACGGGUAGCCGGCCUGAGAGGGUGGACGGCCACAUUGAGACUGAGAUACGGCCCAGACUCCUACGGGAGGCAGCAGUGGGGAAUAUUGCACAAUGGGCGCAAGCCUGAUGCAGCGACGCCGCGUGUGGGAUGACGGCCUUCGGGUUGUAAACUCCUUUCGCUAGGGACGAAGCUUUUUGUGACGGUACCUAGAUAAGAAGCACCGGCUAACUACGUG
Molecule: ribosomal RNA, 465 nt
Filed under: uncultured bacterium
Lineage: Bacteria
Description: partial 16S ribosomal RNA
Rfam family: Bacterial small subunit ribosomal RNA
Source: RNAcentral